CCUACGGGAGGCAGCAGUAGGGAAUAUUGCUCAAUGGGGGAAACCCUGAAGCAGCAACGCCGCGUGGAGGAUGAAGGUUUUCGGAUUGUAAACUCCUUUUGUUAGAGAAGAUAAUGACGGUAUCUAACGAAUAAGCAACGGCUAACUCCGUGCCAGCAGCCGCGGUAAUACGGAGGGUGCAAGCGUUACUCGGAAUCACUGGGCGUAAAGAGCGCGGAGGCGGGAUAGCAAGUCAGAUGUGAAAUCCUAGGGCUUAACCAUAGAACUGCAUUUGAAACUGUUAUUCUAGAGUAUGGGAGAGGUAGGUGGAAUUCUUGGUGUAGGGGUAAAAUCCGUAGAGAUCAAGAGGAAUACUCAUUGCGAAGGCGACCUGCUAGAACAUAACUGACGCUGAUGCGCGAAAGCGUGGGGAGCAAACAGGAUUAGAUACCCGUGUAGUC
Molecule: ribosomal RNA, 440 nt
Filed under: uncultured bacterium
Lineage: Bacteria
Description: partial 16S ribosomal RNA
Rfam family: Bacterial small subunit ribosomal RNA
Source: RNAcentral